CUACGGGGUGCACCAGUGGGGAAUAUUGCACAAUGGGCGCAAGCCUGAUGCAGCCAUGCCGCGUGUAUGAAGAAGGCCUUCGGGUUGUAAAGUACUUUCAGCGGGGAGGAAGGGAGUAAAGUUAAUACCUUUGCUCAUUGACGUUACCCGCAGAAGAAGCACCGGCUAACUCCGUGCCAGCAGCCGCGGUAAUACGGAGGGUGCAAGCGUUAAUCGGAAUUACUGGGCGUAAAGCGCACGCAGGCGGUUUGUGAAGUCAGAUGUGAAAUCCCCGGGCUCAACCUGGGGACUGCAUCUGAUACUGGCAAGCUUGAGUCUCGUAGAGGGGGGUAGAAUUCCAGGUGUAGCGGUGAAAUGCGUAGAGAUCUGGAGGAAUACCGGUGGCGAAGGCGGCCCCCUGGACGAAGACUGACGCUCAGGUGCGAAAGCGUGGGGAGCAAACAGGAUUAGAUACCCGCGUAGUC
This 464-nucleotide ribosomal RNA is filed under the name uncultured bacterium. RNAcentral describes it as "partial 16S ribosomal RNA". It matches the Rfam family "Bacterial small subunit ribosomal RNA", at positions 339 to 795 of the family's 1533-position model. The record is from RNAcentral.